AGGGCACCACCAGGAGUGGAGCCUGCGGCUUAAUUUGACUCAACACGGGAAAACUCACCCGGCCCGGACACCGCGAGGAUUGACAGAUUGACAGCUCUUUCAUGAUUCGGUGGAUGGUGGUGCAUGGCCGUUCUUAGUUCGUGGAGCGAUUUGUCUGGUUUAUUCCGAUAACGAGCGAGACUCUAGCCUACUAACUAGUCCGCACAUUCCGCACGGUGUGUGCCUUCGGGACUUCUUAGAGGGAUUUUCGGCACUCAAGCCGCACGAAACUGAGCAAUAACAGGUCUGUGAUGCCCUUAGAUGUCCGGGGCUGCGCGCGCGCUACACUGGCGAAAUCAGCGUGCCUGUCCUCUCGCGAAAGCGACUGGUAAACCGGUGAAAAUUCGCCGUGAUUGGGAUCGGAAAUUGCAAUUAUUUUCCGUGAACGAGGAAUUCCAAGUAAGUGCGAGUCAUCAACUCGCGUUGAUUACGUCCCUGCCCUUUGUACACACCGCCCGUCGCUGCCCGAGACUGAGCCAU
This 519-nucleotide ribosomal RNA is filed under the name uncultured eukaryote. RNAcentral's name for it is "SSU rRNA". It matches the Rfam family "Eukaryotic small subunit ribosomal RNA", at positions 1161 to 1697 of the family's 1831-position model. The record is from RNAcentral.